RNAcentral lists this ribosomal RNA (403 nucleotides) under uncultured bacterium. RNAcentral describes it as "bacterial SSU rRNA". It matches the Rfam family "Bacterial small subunit ribosomal RNA", at positions 355 to 774 of the family's 1533-position model. The record is from RNAcentral.
UGGGGAAUAUUGCGCAAUGGGGGCAACCCUGACGCAGCAACGCCGCGUGAUUGAAGAAGGCCUUCGGGUUGUAAAGAUCUUUAAUCAGGGACGAAUAAUGACGGUACCUGAAGAAUAAGCUCCGGCUAACUACGUGCCAGCAGCCGCGGUAAUACGUAGGGAGCAAGCGUUAUCCGGAUUUACUGGGUGUAAAGGGCGAGUAGGCGGGCUGGCAAGUUGGAAGUGAAAUCUCGGGGCUUAACCCCGAAACUGCUUUCAAAACUGCUGGUCUUGAGUGAUGGAGAGGCAGGCGGAAUUCCCAGUGUAGCGGUGAAAUGCGUAGAUAUUGGGAGGAACACCAGUGGCGAAGGCGGCCUGCUGGACAUUAACUGACGCUGAGGAGCGAAAGCGUGGGGAGCAAACA